Molecule: ribosomal RNA, 473 nt
Filed under: uncultured bacterium
Lineage: Bacteria
Description: bacterial SSU rRNA
Rfam family: Bacterial small subunit ribosomal RNA
Source: RNAcentral
ACUCCUACGGGAGGCAGCAGUGGGGAAUAUUGCACAAUGGGCGCAAGCCUGAUGCAGCCAUGCCGCGUGUAUGAAGAAGGCCUUCGGGUUGUAAAGUACUUUCAGCAGUGAGGAAGGCGGAGUCGUUAAUAGCGGCCUCGUUUGACGUUAGCUGCAGAAGAAGCACCGGCUAACUCCGUGCCAGCAGCCGCGGUAAUACGGAGGGUGCGAGCGUUAAUCGGAAUUACUGGGCGUAAAGCGCAUGCAGGUGGUUUGUUAAGUCAGAUGUGAAAGCCCGGGGCUCAACCUCGGAAUAGCAUUUGAAACUGGCAGACUAGAGUACUGUAGAGGGGGGUAGAAUUUCAGGUGUAGCGGUGAAAUGCGUAGAGAUCUGAAGGAAUACCGGUGGCGAAGGCGGCCCCCUGGACAGAUACUGACACUCAGAUGCGAAAGCGUGGGGAGCAAACAGGAUUAGAUACCCUGGUAGGAUAGCG